This 1245-nucleotide small RNA is filed under the name uncultured Pseudomonadota bacterium. RNAcentral's name for it is "bacterial SSU rRNA". The stretch from base 1 to 473 matches the Rfam family "Bacterial small subunit ribosomal RNA", at positions 1064 to 1533 of the family's 1533-position model. The record is from RNAcentral. Lineage: Bacteria; Pseudomonadati; Pseudomonadota.
GUCGUGAGAUGUUGGGUUAAGUCCCGCAACGAGCGCAACCCUCAUCUUCAGUUGCCAACGGGUAGAGCUGGGCACUCUGGAGAAACUGCCGGUGACAAGCCGGAGGAAGGCGGGGAUGACGUCAAGUCCUCAUGGCCCUUACGGGCUGGGCUACACACGUGCUACAAUGGCGGUGACAGCGGGCGGCGAUGGGGCGACCCUGAGCUAAUCCCGAAAAGCCGUCUCAGUUCGGAUUGCACUCUGCAACUCGAGUGCAUGAAGUUGGAAUCGCUAGUAAUCGCGGAUCAGCAUGCCGCGGUGAAUACGUUCCCGGGCCUUGUACACACCGCCCGUCACGCCAUGGGAGUUGGCUUUACCCGAAGCCGGUGCGCUGACCUCGCAAGAGGAGGCAGCCGACCACGGUAAGGUCAGCGACUGGGGCGAAGUCGUAACAAGGUAGCCGUAGGGGAACCUGCGGCUGGAUCACCUCCUUUCUGGGACUUGGGAGAAAGACGGCUGCCGCCAGGCAGUCGACACCUCUUUCGAGCUCAUAUCUGCCGAGCCUGUCCGUAUGACGGCUCGAGGCCGCCGUCCUCGCAUCCCUUCUCCUCGGAAUAAGCGCCGCAAGGCGGCUUUCGCGCGUUUGCGCGGGCCGUCUGGGGGUGGAGAGAUCGGGCUAGUAGCUCAGCUGGUUAGAGCGCGCGCUUGAUAAGCGUGAGGUCGGAAGUUCAAAUCUUCCCUGGCCCACCAGUUCUGGCCCAUCCGUCGUCUCUGGUUCGCCAGCGAGUCUGGUUCAUCAGUGACAUGGGGCCGUAGCUCAGCUGGGAGAGCACCUGCCUUGCAAGCAGGGGGUCACCGGUUCGAUCCCGGUCGGCUCCACCAGCGCUUCUGGUCAGAGAUCUUGGCCGUUCCGAGGACAUCAGAUAGGGCGAGCUGCGAAGCUCGAUCCCUGAUACCUGCUCUUUGACAUUGUGGAUAGGAAUGCGACUGGCUGUUGGCACGGGUUGCCGGGCCUCGGGCGAAAGCUUGGGGCUAAAGGGACCCGUGGUUGACGGCCAGGCGGGUAAUAGAAUGAGUGCUGAGUGUUACAAGUCGAGGCUUUGCGGUCGUUGCAUGGGGGGUUCCGCUCUCUGUGUGCGGCGGAGGAGCUUCGGAUCAAGCGUUUAAGGGCAUUUGGUGGAUGCCUUGGCACUGAGAGGCGAUGAAGGACGUGGCACGCUGCGAAAAGCCGCGGGGAGGGGCGAGCACCCUUUGAUCCGCGGAUAU